Molecule: ribosomal RNA, 1855 nt
Rfam family: Eukaryotic large subunit ribosomal RNA
Source: Rfam
CCUGCUUACUUAACGCAAAAAAAAGUGGGGAGGCAAUGGGCAAGCUGGACGGACAGAGAAUGAAGGUCAGGGAUUGCCCCAGUAACGGCGAGUGAAGCGGCAACAGCUCAAAUUUGAAAUCUGGCCCCCGGGCCCGAGUUGUAAUUUGCAGAGGAUGCUUUUGGUGACGCGCCUACCGAGUCCCCUGGAACGGGGCGCCACAGAGGGUGAGAGCCCCGUAUGGUUGACGCCGAGCCUCUGUAAAGCUCCUUUCGACGAGUCGAGUAGUUUGGGAAUGCUGCUCUAAAUGGGAGGUAAAUUUCUUCUAAAGCUAAAUACCGGCCAGAGACCGAUAGCGCACAAGUAGAGUGAUCGAAAGAUGAAAAGCACUUUGAAAAGAGGGUUAAAUAGCACGUGAAAUUGUUGAAAGGGAAGCGCUCGUGACCAGACUUGCGCCGGGCGGAUCAUCCAGCGUUCUCGCUGGUGCACUCCGCCCGGCUCAGGCCAGCAUCGGUUUUCGCCGGGGGACAAAAGCACCGGGAAUGUGGCUCCCCUCGGGGAGUGUUAUAGCCCGGCGCGCAAUACCCCGGCGGGGACCGAGGACCGCGCUUCGGCAAGGAUGCUGGCGUAAUGGUCAUCAGCGACCCGUCUUGAAACACGGACCGAGGAGUCAAGCAUUAGUGCGAGUGUUUGGGUGUAAAACCCGCACGCGUAAUGAAAGUGAACGUAGGUGAGAGCUUCGGCGCAUCAUCGACCGAUCCUGAUGUUUUCGGAUGGAUUUGAGUAGGAGCAUUAACGCUUGGACCCGAAAGAUGGUGAACUAUACUUGAAUAGGGUGAAGCCAGAGGAAACUCUGGUGGAGGCUCGCAGCGGUUCUGACGUGCAAAUCGAUCGUCAAAUUUGAGUAUAGGGGCGAAAGACUAAUCGAACCAUCUAGUAGCUGGUUACCGCCGAAGUUUCCCUCAGGAUAGCAGUGUCGUCUUCAGUUUUAUGAGGUAAAGCGAAUGAUUAGGGACUCGGGGGCGAUUUUUAGCCUUCAUCCAUUCUCAAACUUUAAAUAUGUAAGAAGCCCUUGUUACUUUGUUGAACGUGGGCCUUCGAAUGUACCGACACUAGUGGGCCAUUUUUGGUAAGCAGAACUGGCGAUGCGGGAUGAACCGAACGCGGGGUUAAGGUGCCGGAGUGGACGCUCAUCAGACACCACAAAAGGCGUUAGUACAUCUUGACAGCAGGACGGUGGCCAUGGAAGUCGGAAUCCGCUAAGGACUGUGUAACAACUCACCUGCCGAAUGUACUAGCCCUGAAAAUGGAUGGCGCUCAAGCGUCCCACCCAUACCCCGCCCCCAGGGUAGAAACGAGGCCCUGGGGAGUAGGCGGCCGUGGGGGUAGCGACGAAGGCUAGGGCGUGAGCCCGGCUAGAGCUGCCCCUAGUGCAGAUCUCGGUGAGAGUAGCAAAUACUUCAAUGAGAACUUGAAGGACCGAAGUGGGGAAAGGUUCCAUGUGAACAGCAGUUGGACGUGGGUUAGCCGAUCCUAAGCCAUAGGGAAGUUCCGUUUCAAAGGGGCGCUAGCGCCCCGUAUGGCGAAAGGGAAGCAGGUUAAUAUUCCUGCGCCUGGAUGUGGGUUUUUCGCGGCAACGCAACUGAACGCGGAGACGACGGCGGGGGCCCCGGGCAGAGUUAUCUUUUCUUCUUAACGGCCCGUCACCCUGGAAACGGUUUGUCCGGAGAUAGGGUUUAAUGGCCGGAAGAGCCCAGCACUUCUGUUGGGUCCGGUGCGCCCCCGACGCCCCUUGAAAAUCCGCGGGAGGGAAUAAUUCUCACGCCAGGUCGUACUCAUAACCGCAGCAGGUCUCCAAGGUGAACAGCCUCUGGUU